Molecule: long non-coding RNA, 212 nt
Filed under: Rattus norvegicus (Norway rat)
Lineage: Eukaryota; Metazoa; Chordata; Mammalia; Rodentia; Muridae
Description: long non-coding RNA NONRATT031858
Source: RNAcentral
AGGAUCCUGAUUUUGUUCCUGUGCUCCAGGGAAGUGACUGCCCUCUGAGGACAACAUCUUUGUCUUAAAGCCAAGGACGUGAUCUCUUCAUCCAUGUCAAGGACAUUCUCUCUGCUCCAGGCUGAGGCCACAGCCUGUGGGGACAGCAAAGCUUCUCUUCAGGAACCCGAAAUGCAGCCCAGGAAACCAGACCCCGCGUCUCCAGCCUCAAC